GCCGGUCCUCGGUAGUGGCCCCCGGAGUGCACAGCCCCGGGUGCUUCGAUCGAAGACCGGC
Molecule: regulatory RNA element, 61 nt
Organism: Streptomyces clavuligerus
Lineage: Bacteria; Bacillati; Actinomycetota; Actinomycetes; Kitasatosporales; Streptomycetaceae
Rfam family: Actino-pnp RNA
Source: Rfam